Molecule: ribosomal RNA, 465 nt
Filed under: Vreelandella stevensii
Lineage: Bacteria; Pseudomonadati; Pseudomonadota; Gammaproteobacteria; Oceanospirillales; Halomonadaceae
Description: partial 16S ribosomal RNA
Rfam family: Bacterial small subunit ribosomal RNA
Source: RNAcentral
CCUACGGGAGGCAGCAGUGGAGAGUAUUGGACAAUGGGGGCAACCCUGAUCCAGCCAUGCCGCGUGUGUGAAGAAGGCCCUCGGGUUGUAAAGCACUUUCAGUGAGGAAGAACGCCUGGUGGUUAAUACCCAUCAGGAAAGACAUCACUCACAGAAGAAGCACCGGCUAACUCCGUGCCAGCAGCCGCGGUAAUACGGAGGGUGCGAGCGUUAAUCGGAAUUACUGGGCGUAAAGCGCGCGUAGGUGGCUUGAUAAGCCGGUUGUGAAAGCCCCGGGCUCAACCUGGGAACGGCAUCCGGAACUGUCAAGCUAGAGUGCAGGAGAGGAAGGUAGAAUUCCCGGUGUAGCGGUGAAAUGCGUAGAGAUCGGGAGGAAUACCAGUGGCGAAGGCGGCCUUCUGGACUGACACUGACACUGAGGUGCGAAAGCGUGGGUAGCAAACAGGAUUAGAUACCCCUGUAGUC